GACGAACGCUGGCGGCGUGCCUAAUACAUGCAAGUAGAACGCUGAAGGAGGAGCUUGCUUCUCUGGAUGAGUUGCGAACGGGUGAGUAACGCGUAGGUAACCUGCCUGGUAGCGGGGGAUAACUAUUGGAAACGAUAGCUAAUACCGCAUAAUAGUAGAUGUUGCAUGACAUUUGCUUAAAAGGUGCAAUUGCAUCACUACCAGAUGGACCUGCGUUGUAUUAGCUAGUUGGUGGGGUAACGGCUCACCAAGGCGACGAUACAUAGCCGACCUGGGAGGGUGAUCGGCCACACUGGGACUGGGACACGGCCCAGACUCCUACGGGAGGCAGCAGUAGGGAAUCUUCGGCAAUGGACGGAAGUCUGACCGAGCAACGCCGCGGGAGUGAAGAAGGUUUUCGGAUCGUAAAGCUCUGUUGUAAGAGAAGAACGAGUGUGAGAGUGGAAAGUUCACACUGUGACGGUAUCUUACCAGAAAGGGACGGCUAACUACGUG
RNAcentral lists this ribosomal RNA (495 nucleotides) under uncultured bacterium. RNAcentral describes it as "partial 16S ribosomal RNA". It matches the Rfam family "Bacterial small subunit ribosomal RNA", at positions 28 to 507 of the family's 1533-position model. The record is from RNAcentral.